RNAcentral lists this unclassified non-coding RNA (598 nucleotides) under Sedum album. RNAcentral describes it as "sequence contains ITS1, 5.8S rRNA gene and ITS2". The stretch from base 225 to 380 matches the Rfam family "5.8S ribosomal RNA". The record is from RNAcentral. Lineage: Eukaryota; Viridiplantae; Streptophyta; Magnoliopsida; Saxifragales; Crassulaceae.
UCGAAGCCUAGAAAGCACGACCGCGAACUCGUUUAACUCGGGGACGCAGCGGGAAGCAAUUCCCGUUGCGCCCUCAGCUCGGCGGGAAGGGAUGCAUGCGCUCCGUUCCCCCGAAACUAACGAACCCCGGCGCGGAAAGCGCCAAGGAAUCCAAACGAAAGAACCUGCCCCUUGGGUCGGUGCGCCGGCCUCGAGGGGAAGCGUCUUAUCAAAUAAGUCAUAACGACUCUCGGCAACGGAUAUCUCGGCUCUCGCAUCGAUGAAGAACGUAGCGAAAUGCGAUACUUGGUGUGAAUUGCAGAAUCCCGUGAACCAUCGAGUCUUUGAACGCAAGUUGCGCCCGAAGCCUUUAGGCCGAGGGCACGUCUGCCUGGGCGUCAUGCACUGCGAUGCCCCCCGCCCAAGCGCGGGAGCGAAGCCUGGCCUCCCGUUAGCCCAACUCGCGGAUGGCUUAAAAACGAGCCUCGAGACGGCGAGCCGUCGCGACAAGUGGUGGUUUCGAGGGCUUGCGCCUCCGAUCUUUGCAAGUCGCGCGUCCUCGCUCCUCUGUGCUUCGAAUUAACCCCUUUGGUGCGCGUCCUUCGCGCUUCCAGCAUCG